CUGCGGAAGGUCAUUAAUAAACCUAGUCGUUCGCGUACAUAGGGGCAACCCUCGCGUGAUGUCAGCAAUACCUAGGUAACCCUUGAAUAAACUACCCUUGUUGCUUUGGCGGGUCGCCUUUUAGGCCAGCGGCUUCGGCUGCUGCGUGUCCGCCAGAGGACCACAACUCUUGUUUUUAGUGAUGUCUGAGUACUAUAUAAUAGUUAAAACUUUCAACAACGGAUCUCUUGGUUCUGGCAUCGAUGAAGAACGCAGCGAAAUGCGAUAAGUAAUGUGAAUUGCAGAAUUCAGUGAAUCAUCGAAUCUUUGAACGCACAUUGCGCCCUUUGGUAUUCCGAAGGGCAUGCCUGUUCGAGCGUCAUUAUAACCACUCAAGCCUUCGCUUGGUAUUGGGGUUCGCGCUUCCGCGGCCUCUAAAAUCAGUGGCGGUGCCUGUCGGCUCUACGCGUAGUAAUACUCCUCGCGUCUGGGUCCGGUAGGUUGCUUGCCAACAACCCCCAAUUUUUUACAGGUUGACCUCGGAUCAGGUAGGGAUACCCGCUGAACUUAAGCAUAUCAAUAAGCGGAGGAAAAGAAACCAACAGGGAUUACCUCAGUAACGGCGAGUGAAGCGGUAACAGCUCAAAUUUGAAAGCUAGCUCUUUUAGGGUUCGCAUUGUAAUUUGUAGAAGAUGCUUCGGGUGUGGCCCCGGUCUAAGUUCCUUGGAACAGGACGUCAUAGAGGGUGAGAAUCCCGUAUGUGACUGGGUGCUUUCGCUCAUGUGAAGCUCUU
This 772-nucleotide ribosomal RNA is filed under the name fungal sp. RNAcentral's name for it is "eukaryotic LSU rRNA". The stretch from base 514 to 772 matches the Rfam family "Eukaryotic large subunit ribosomal RNA", at positions 1 to 256 of the family's 3401-position model. Lineage: Eukaryota; Fungi. The record is from RNAcentral.